RNAcentral lists this ribosomal RNA (655 nucleotides) under uncultured bacterium. RNAcentral describes it as "bacterial SSU rRNA". It matches the Rfam family "Bacterial small subunit ribosomal RNA", at positions 8 to 671 of the family's 1533-position model. The record is from RNAcentral.
AGAGUUUGAUCCUGGCUCAGGAUGAACGCUAGCGGCAGGCCUAAUACAUGCAAGUCGAACGGUGAUAGCAAUAUCAUAGUGGCGCACGGGUGCGUAACACGUAUGCAACCUACCUUAUACUGAGGGAUAGCCUUUCGAAAGGGAGAUUAAUACCUCAUAACACAUUGAACUGGCAUCAGUUUAUUGUUAAAGAUUUAUUGGUAUAAGAUGGGCAUGCGUCCAAUUAGUUAGUUGGCGAGGUAACGGCUCACCAAGACGAUGAUUGGUAGGGGAACUGAGAGGUUAAUCCCCCACACUGGCACUGAGAUACGGGCCAGACUCCUACGGGAGGCAGCAGUAGGGAAUAUUGGGCAAUGGAGGCAACUCUGACCCAGCCAUGCCGCGUGCAGGAAGAAGGCGUUAUGCGUUGUAAACUGCUUUUAUAUAGGAAGAAAUAGACCUUGCGAGGUAAGUUGACGGUACUAUAUGAAUAAGCACCGGCUAACUCCGUGCCAGCAGCCGCGGUAAUACGGAGGGUGCAAGCGUUGUCCGGAUUUAUUGGGUUUAAAGGGUGCGUAGGCGGUUUAUUAAGUCAGUGGUGAAAGACGGUCGCUCAACGAUUGCAGUGCCAUUGAUACUGGUAGACUUGAGUGGGAUUGAGGUAGCUGGAAUGGAU